This 67-nucleotide transfer RNA is filed under the name Myrmecophilus kubotai. RNAcentral describes it as "tRNA-Val". Lineage: Eukaryota; Metazoa; Arthropoda; Insecta; Orthoptera; Myrmecophilidae. The record is from RNAcentral.
CAGGAUGUAGCUUAUUUUAAAGUAAUUCACUUACACUGAUUUGAAGGUUUAUAGAAAUCUAUUCUGA